This is a long non-coding RNA of Astyanax mexicanus (Mexican tetra), 505 nucleotides long. RefSeq lists it as uncharacterized. Lineage: Eukaryota; Metazoa; Chordata; Actinopteri; Characiformes; Acestrorhamphidae. The transcript has 3 exons. The record is from RefSeq and is a predicted model, not a curated record.
UCACCCAACCCACUGUAUAUCUCUGUAGACUUCCAUUUAUAUAAAAAUGGAGUUCUGAUACAAAACCAAGCAGCUGAAUCUUCAACCGUAUUCAAUCUGACUGUGGGAACAUCUGAUUAUGGGCAAUACAGCUGUGACUUUUCAUCCCAGAGAAAUAGCUCCGUCAUAUCACCCAGGAACAGCUCUGUAAACAUUACUGUGGAAAAGAUCAGGCUGGUGAACGGAUCAGGUCUCUGCGAUGGCAGAGUGGAGAUCUCCAUUAAUGACCAGUGGGGAACAGUGUGUGAUGAUCUCUGGGACAUUAAUGAUGGAGACGUGGUGUGCAGACAGAUGGGAUGUGGUCGAGCCGUCAGCGCCCCGCAAAGUUCCAGAUUUGGUCCAGGAAGUGGAUCAAUAUUUCUGGAUGACGUUGUCUGUUCUGGAAGUGAAAGAUCUCUCACAAAAUGCUCUCAUAGAGGACUAGGAGUGAACAACUGUGAUCAUUCCAAAGAUGCUGGAGUUGUCU